UACGUAGGGUGCGAGCGUUGUCCGGAUUUAUUGGGCGUAAAGAGCUCGUAGGCGGUUUGUCGCGUCGGCCGUGAAAUCUCCACGCUUAACGUGGAGCGUGCGGUCGAUACGGGCAGACUUGAGUUCGGUAGGGGAGACUGGAAUUCCUGGUGUAGCGGUGAAAUGCGCAGAUAUCAGGAGGACACCGGUGGCGAAGGCGGGAUCUCUGGGCCGAUACUGACGCUGAGGAGCGAAAGCGUGGGGAGCGAACAGGA
Molecule: ribosomal RNA, 254 nt
Filed under: uncultured bacterium
Lineage: Bacteria
Description: partial 16S ribosomal RNA
Rfam family: Bacterial small subunit ribosomal RNA
Source: RNAcentral